AGAGUUUGAUCAUGGCUCAGGACGAACGCUGGCGGCGUGCUUAACACAUGCAAGUUGGGCGAGGAUGGUUUGAGGAGACAUAUGUUGAAUUGAAUCGUUCGAGCAGCGGACGGGUGAGUAAAGCACAAGGACUUGUCCGAAAGAGAGGGACACCUUCGGGAAACCGGAGCUAAUACCUCAUAAGCCGGAAGGUGAAAAGCAGAGAUGCGCUUUUGGAGAGACUUGUGUCCUAUCAGGCAGUUGGUGAGGUGAAAGCUCACCAAACCGAAGACGGGUAGCCGGACUGAGAGGUCGACCGGCCACAUUGGAACUGAGAGACGGUCCAGACUCCUACGGGAGGCAGCAGUGGGGAAUAUUGGGCAAUGGGCGGAAGCCUGACCCAGCGACGCCGCGUGAGGGAAGACAGCCUUCGGGUUGUAAACCUCUGUUGCAGGGGAAGAAGGAAGUGACGGUACCCUGCGAGGAAGCUCCGGCUAACUACGUGCCAGCAGCCGCGGUAAUACGUAGGGAGCGAGCGUUGUCCGGAAUUACUGGGCGUAAAGGGCGCGUAGGCGGCGCUUCAAGUCGUCU
This 570-nucleotide ribosomal RNA is filed under the name uncultured bacterium. RNAcentral's name for it is "bacterial SSU rRNA". It matches the Rfam family "Bacterial small subunit ribosomal RNA", at positions 8 to 593 of the family's 1533-position model. The record is from RNAcentral.